AAUUUCCGAUUUAUCCUGCUAGAUAAAUAAAAUAGUGACGUCACAACGUGGUUUCGAGUAUGAUAAUAAAUUUUACUUACAGAUCCAACUUGUUGCAGAAAGAAGGUCAUCUGCUUAUACCCUCCAAAACAUUAGAGUUUCAAAAGAUUCUUUUCUCAAUAGCAAAUAUAACCGACCAAUUAAACGCUGUCGUACCGAAGAUAUGCUACUACUUUGGACCAACUGUUUGUUCCUCUUCCGAUAAGAUAAUUUUUUUUUGUUAAUUUACACUCAAUUUCAGAUGAUAUUUGCAUUCGGCGGCUUAUUUGCAAUAUCGGUCUUCAACUUUCACAAUUUCUAUAGGACAUUGGGCGAAAAGCACACACCUGAAUUUUACUUACUAAUUUUCGCCUAUGAUAUUCUCAGCUUAUUGUUUUGCGUCUGGGCUGGGCUGUGCAUUUCGAUCUCUGCCUUUAACACUAGCUCGGCUAAAAGGAUGGGCGUUCUGGUUCAUAAAGUCAUGGCACGCACAAACGAGAAAGCUUUCAUUCUUAGGCUAAAAAUCCUUUCCCAACAAAUUCUCCAUCGGUCGCCUGACGCUUCAUUUGGCAUUUUCUCCUUAAAUUGGUCCCUUGCAUAUACGUAUGUUGCAUCCGUUGUGUCGUACAUCGUUAUCUUAAUUCAGUUUGAAAAUUAUAUUGCUGACGAUUCAAAAGCUCAUUGACAGCAGAGGUUCAUAAGAUUGUGUUGGCGAAUAAAAUCGUAAAGAUGAGGUGAAAUUUUACUCGAAACUAAAAUUUGCAAAAUGAUUUGUUUGAACAUCAAUUUUAUGAAUAAAGUAUGCAGCCAUUAAACAGUUGUUGAUUAUG
Bradysia coprophila is the source of this 848-nucleotide long non-coding RNA. Lineage: Eukaryota; Metazoa; Arthropoda; Insecta; Diptera; Sciaridae. The record is from RefSeq and is a predicted model, not a curated record.